This 766-nucleotide ribosomal RNA is filed under the name Brevibacterium sp. AN22. RNAcentral describes it as "bacterial SSU rRNA". It matches the Rfam family "Bacterial small subunit ribosomal RNA", at positions 50 to 823 of the family's 1533-position model. The record is from RNAcentral. Lineage: Bacteria; Bacillati; Actinomycetota; Actinomycetes; Micrococcales; Brevibacteriaceae.
UACACAUGCAGUCGAACGCUGAAGCAUCCAGCUUGCUGGGUGUGGAUGAGUGGCGAACGGGUGAGUAACACGUGAGUAACCUGCCCCUGACUUCGGGAUAAGCCUGGGAAACUGGGUCUAAUACCGGAUAUGACUACUGGCCGCAUGGUCUGGUGGUGGAAAGGGUUUUACUGGUUGGGGAUGGACUCGCGGCCUAUCAGUUUGUUGGUGGGGUAGUGGCCUACCAAGACGACGACGGGUAGCCGGCCUGAGAGGGCGACCGGCCACACUGGGACUGAGACACGGCCCAGACUCCUACGGGAGGCAGCAGUGGGGAAUAUUGCACAAUGGGGGGAACCCUGAUGCAGCGACGCCGCGUGCGGGAUGACGGCCUUCGGGUUGUAAACCGCUUUCAGUAGGGAAGAAGCGAAAGUGACGGUACCUGCAGAAGAAGUACCGGCUAACUACGUGCCAGCAGCCGCGGUAAUACGUAGGGUACAAGCGUUGUCCGGAAUUAUUGGGCGUAAAGAGCUCGUAGGUGGUUGGUCACGUCUGCUGUGGAAACGCAACGCUUAACGUUGCGCGUGCAGUGGGUACGGGCUGACUAGAGUGCAGUAGGGGAGUCUGGAAUUCCUGGUGUAGCGGUGAAAUGCGCAGAUAUCAGGAGGAACACCGGUGGCGAAGGCGGGACUCUGGGCUGUAACUGACGCUGAGGAGCGAAAGCAUGGGGAGCGAACAGGAUUAGAUACCCUGGUAGUCCAUGCCGUAAACGUUGGGAACUAGGUGU